RNAcentral lists this long non-coding RNA (3222 nucleotides) under Sus scrofa (pig). RNAcentral describes it as "lncRNA (ENSSSCG00060037620.1)". Lineage: Eukaryota; Metazoa; Chordata; Mammalia; Artiodactyla; Suidae. The record is from RNAcentral.
AGAGGCGGGCGCCCGGACUCCAACCUGGAAGCCCGUGGCGCAGACGGGUUGCUUGCGACCAAGUGAUGGGAGGAUGGCGAGCGGCCCGCCCCCAGCCGCGACCCCGAACCGUGAAGGGAGCACUAACGCCGGAAAGCCAUUGGCUGCUGUCAGACCGGGUCUGGCCGAAGCCUGUGGGGAGGGCUGGGCCUGCGGGUAGGGGAGGGUGGACGUGCCCGGCUUCCGGCUCUUCCGCCUCUGGCCAGAGCAGCACGUGGGCGGCCCUUUGCCCUGACCCGUGGCGGAAAGGAAGCUAGCAGGAGCCCCUGUGCAGGCCUCCAGGCUGAAGGCCUUGUGGUGGAGGCAGAUGCCCUGGACAGUGCCUCCCCGAGCCCGUAACCAACUUCGCUGCUAGGUUUUUACGCAUCGGUUCUGUACUUGCCGUUCUGUGUUUCUCUCUCCACGAUUUCGGCACGCUAUAAAUGGCGGUUCCUAGGCCAAACCAGGGAGCCACUUGCUAUUUCUCCUUUCCUGGGGUGGCCCAGUCCAUUGGGCUCCAUGCCCUGUGAUGACACCCCUGGCCGUGGGCAGUCACCCUUUCUGCCAGGCACAGGCAGCCCCUGCCCUGUUAUGCCUGCUUCCUACAGCACCCCUGGGAGUCCAGCACUGUCCACGUCCCGGUUCUGCAGAGCAGGGAGGGUUUCCGGGGUGAGGUGACCUGCCCGAGGUCCCUCCAGGUAAAGGACAGCACGAGGGUUCGGGCUCCGCAGGGGAGCCCAGAGCCCUGUACCUGCUGCCGGGUUCCCAGCACUUGGCCUGUCAAGUUGCUCAAGAGAAUGGCUGUCUACCCUGUGGGCACCCUCUCCCUCCACCAGUCCUGUGGUGGCUGCCACUCAGGGACUGAUUCGCCCUGGAUAAAGCAGCCACAGAAGUGCAGGCAGGAAUGGGCAUCCCAGAUAAGAGCCAGACGGCCCACGCCUCCCCCGGCGCUCGGCCUCGGACCCCGGGGCCCGGGCGCUCAUGACGCCUAUGCUGACCGCCACCCGGACGCCGCCGCUGCGAGCCUGCGCCGCCGCCCGGCCCGAUGCCGGUCAUGCCGAUCCCCCGGCGGGUGCGCUCCUUCCACGGCCCGCACACCACCUGCCUGCACGCGGCCUGCGGGCCCGCGCGCGCCUCGCGCCUGGCCCGCACCAAGUACAACAACUUCGACGUCUACGUGCGGGCGCGCUGGCUCUACGGCUUCAUCCGCUUCCUGCUCUACUUCAGCUGCAGCCUCUUCACCGCCGCGCUGUGGGGCGCGCUGGCCGCCCUCUUCUGCCUGCAGUACCUGGGCGUGCGCGUCCUGCUGCGCUUCCAGCUCAAGUUGUCGCUGCUGCUGCUGCUGCUGGGCCGCCGGCGCGUGGACUUCCGCCUCCUGAACGAGCUGCUCAUCUACGGCAUCCACGUGACCAUGCUGCUGGUGGGCGGCCUGGGCUGGUGUUUCAUGGUCUUCGUGGACAUGUGAGGGCCCGGCCACCUCGCCCUGGGGGGGCUCUGCUGGGAGCCCAGGGUGCAUGCACCUGCUGCAGGUUCUUUUCUUGAGACCUGGGAGGCCGGGCCCGGUCCGCCCUUGCCCACAGACACCACCUGGGUGCCUGACCUGGGAGAGGAGAGGGCUGAGGCUUUCUGUGAAGGGACCUUGGCACCUGCCCUCCUUUCUGUGCGUGCUUUCGGGGCAGGACCUCCGGCCACCUGCUUGUGGUUCCAGCCUUAGGGAAGCGUCAGGCUCCACCAGCAGACGCACAGCACUGCCACCAAGCUCUUCACUCUGCCCCGGGCCACCCGAGCCCUGGCCUAGCCCGCAGGCCCUCCGCCAUCUGUCACUCUGUGAGGCGCUGGUCCUGAGUCCCAGGCUGGGCUUCAGGGUCACCUCGGUUUGCCUGGCAGGUUCCCAGAUCAGGGUCAACCCAGAGGAGUGUGGGGCCCAGGGUCCACCUGUCUCCCUCCUGGGUGGCGGGUCCCAGGGCCCACCUGUCGCCCUCCUGGGUGGGCCUGUUGAGAGUGCCAGCCAGGUGCUGUCAUCUCGUCAAGCGUCCGUUUCUGGGGAGGCGGCUCUGUCUUUUUCUGGCUUUGGGGGGCUUUCCAUCCCAUCCCCUGAGGGAGUGUCCAGGAUGGAGACGUGCUUGUCGGAAGCAGAUGUCAGAGGUGGCCCGAGGGCACCAGGCUGGACCUCCCAGCGAGGGGCUCGGCCGCCCUUGUUCCUGCCUCGGCAGCUGUUAGAAUGGAAUGAGGGCGUUCCUGCGGAGGCUCAGUGGUUAACAAACCCCACUAGUGUCCAUGAGGACGCAGGUUCAAUCCCUGGCCUUGCUCAGUGGGUUAGGGAUCUGGUGUUGGCCGUGAGCAGUGGUGCAGGUUGCAGAGGAGGCUUGGAUCCUGCGUUGCUGUGGCUGGGGUGGGUGUAGGCCAGCUCCAGUUCGACCCCUAGCCUGGGAACUUCCAUAUGCUGCACGUGCGGCCCUAAAAAAGCAAAAAAAAGCAAGUUGAACGUGGGCCGGAAAAGAGCAAGUGGCCCAGAGGGCUUCUGCUUGUGGAGAGAACACGCCGGAGGCUGGUGCUUGCCCAGACCCUCCCCCUGGCCUCUGUCCAGUGGGGCGUCGCGGGCAAGUGAGAGGGACUGAGUAACUACGCUGGGGCACCAGCCAGAGGCAGGACUCAGGGCCCCAAAUUGAGGGUGACACCUCAAAUUGUCCCCACAACCCCUGGGCACGGGCGGUGGCCCCUGCAGCCCUGCCUGGCCUGCCAGCCCAGCGGCCAGGGGCAGCUGGCAGGACCAUUAUGUGCCCCCCGCGAGGCAAACCCGAAUCAGGUAGAGAGCAGAAAAGUACUCGGCUGUGCGCCAAGCCCUUGACUCCGUAGCCAGCUUCGGGCUGACGCGGCCACGCGCGGUCCGGGCAGCUCCUGCAGGCAGAGGGAGCGAGUCCGCCUGACCUGCGUGGGUGGCGGGCCAGGAGCCGGCCCGCGCGGACCCUCUUCUCAGGGCUGCAGAGAGUCAUUUGCACUGGAUCACGCUGUUCCCGAAAAGCUUCGUCUUGUGUUCACUGGCGGCCGUUACCCGGGCCCGCCGAGGCUGCCCGCGGGGGCGUGGGCGCAGGGCUGGGCGUCGGGGCCUCGGCGGCGCAGAUGCAGAACUGCUCCCUGCCGCGAGUGCCUGUGAAGUCCUUUAUGGAAUGAGCCACCUGCAUUAAACUUAUUUUUUUAACACCU